CAGUUGAAGAGAAACCCAAGGAAUGGAUCGUUGAAGAGAAACUGGAAGAAACAGCCAUUGAGGAGAAACUCGAAGAACCAGCAGUUGAGGAGAAACCUAACAAACCAGCGGUUAAAGAGACACCUGAAGAACCUGCAGUGAAAGAAACACCUGAACAACCAACGGUUGAAGAGAAACCUCAAGAACCAGCAAUUCAAGAGAAACCUCAAGAACCAACAGUUGAAAAGAAACCUGAAGAACCAACAAUUGAUGAAGAACUUGAAGAGCCAACAGUUGCGGAGAAACCUGAAGAACCAGCAGUUAAAGAAAACCAUGUAGAACCAGAAGUUGAUGAAAAACGUGAAGAACCACAAGUUGAAGAAAAACAUGAGGAACCAGCAGUUGAAGAAAAACCUAAAGAACCAAAAGUUGAGGAGAAACCGGAAGAACCAGCGGUUGAGGAGAAACCCGAAGAACCAGCAGUGAAAGAAACACCUGAAGAACCAGCGGUGAAAGAGACACCUGAGGAACUAGCAGUUGAAGAGAAACCUGAAGAACCAGUAGCUGACAAAAAACUUGAGGAACCAAC
Molecule: long non-coding RNA, 568 nt
Filed under: Nicotiana tabacum (common tobacco)
Lineage: Eukaryota; Viridiplantae; Streptophyta; Magnoliopsida; Solanales; Solanaceae
Description: long non-coding RNA (NTAB_LNC000707)
Source: RNAcentral